RNAcentral lists this ribosomal RNA (680 nucleotides) under Phlegmacium caesiocortinatum. Its description in RNAcentral is "eukaryotic LSU rRNA". The stretch from base 281 to 434 matches the Rfam family "5.8S ribosomal RNA". The record is from RNAcentral. Lineage: Eukaryota; Fungi; Basidiomycota; Agaricomycetes; Agaricales; Cortinariaceae.
GUCGUACAAGGUUUCCGUAGGUGACCUGCGGAAGGAUCAUUAUUGAAAUAAAUCUGAUGAGUUGUUGCUGGCUCUCUAGGGAGCAUGUGCACGCUUGUCAUCUUUAUAUCUCCACCUGUGCACAUUUUGUAGUCCUGGAUAUCUUUCUGAAUGCUUGUCACUCAGGUUUGAGGAUUGACCUUUGUGUCUUUCCUUACAUUUCCAGGUCUAUGUUUCUUCAUAUACCCUAAUGUAUGUUAUAGAAUGUAUCUCAUGGGACUUUGUGCCUAUAAAUUUAUACAACUUUCAGCAACGGAUCUCUUGGCUCUCGCAUCGAUGAAGAACGCAGCGAAAUGCGAUAAGUAAUGUGAAUUGCAGAAUUCAGUGAAUCAUCGAAUCUUUGAACGCACCUUGCGCUCCUUGGUAUUCCGAGGAGCAUGCCUGUUUGAGUGUCAUUAAUAUAUCAACCUCUUAAGACUUUUUUGUCUGGUUAGAGUGUUGGAUGUGGGGGCUUUCUUUUGCUGGCCUUUGAAGGUCAGCUCCCCUGAAAUGUAUUAGCGGAAUGAUCUGUGGACCGUUCAUUGGUGUGAUAACUAUCUACGCUAUUGACGUGAAACAAGUUCAGCUUCUAAUAGUCCAUUGACUUGGACAAAUUUUCAUUAAUGUGACCUCAAAUCANGUANGAUUACCCGCUGACUUAA